RNAcentral lists this long non-coding RNA (2313 nucleotides) under Salmo salar (Atlantic salmon). RNAcentral's name for it is "lncRNA (ENSSSAG00000114754.1)". The record is from RNAcentral. Lineage: Eukaryota; Metazoa; Chordata; Actinopteri; Salmoniformes; Salmonidae.
GCCUUUGAAUUGCUUAACUUGGAUCAAACGUUUUGAGUAGCCUUCCACAAGCUUCCCACAAUAAGGGGUGAAUUUUGUCCCAUUCCUCCUGACAGAGCUGGUGUGACCGAGUCAGGUUUGUAGGCCUCCUUGCUCGCACACGGUUUUUCAGUUCGGCCCACAACUUUCCAAUGGGAUUGAGGUCAGAGCUUUGUGAUGGCCACUCCAAUACCUUGACUUUGUUGUCCUUAAGGCAUUUUGCCACAACUUUGGAAGUAUGCUUGGACUCAUUGUCCAUUUCGAAGACCCAUUUGCGACCAAGCUUUAACUUCCUGACUGAUGUCUUGAGAUGUUGCUUUAAUAUAUCCACAUAAUUUUCCUCCUCAUGAUACCAUCUAUUUUGUGAAGGGCACCAGUCCCUCCUGCAGCAAAGCACCAGCCACAACACGAUGCUGCCACCCCCGUGCUUCACGGUUGGGAUGGUGUUCUUCAGCUUGCAAGCCUCCCCCUUUUUCCUCCGAACAUAACGAUGGUCAUAAUGGCCAAACAGUUCUAUUUUUGUUUCAUCAGACCAGAGGACAUUUCUCCAAAAAGUACGAUCUUUGUCCCCAUGUGCAGUUGCAAACCGUAGUCUGUCUUUUUUAUGGCGGUUUUGAGCGGUGGCUUCUUCCUUGCUGAGCGGCCUUUCAGGUUAUCUAGAUAUAGGACUCGUUUUACUGUGGAUAUAGAUACUUUUGUACCUGUUUCCUCCAGCAUCUUCACAAGGUCCUUUGCUUUUGUUCUGGGAUUGAUUUGCACUUUUCGCACCAAAGUGCGUUCAUCUCUAGGAGACAGAAAGCGUCUCCUUCCUGAGCGGUAUAACGGCUGCGUGGUCCCAUGGUGUUUAUACUUGCUUACUAUUGUUUGAAAAUUGCUCCCAAGCAAAGAGGCACUGAGUUUGAAGGUAGGCCUUGAAAUACAUCCACAGGUACACCUCCAAUUGACUCAAAUUAUGUCAAUUAGCCUAUCAGAAGCUUCUAAAGCCAAGACAUCAUUUUCUGGAAUUUUCCAAGCUGUUGAAAGGCACAGUCAACUUAGUGUAUGUAAACUUCUGACCCACUGAAAUUGUGAUACCGUGAAUUAUAAGUGAAAUAAUCUGUCUGUAAACAAUUGUUGGAAAGAUUACUUGUGUCAUGCACAAAGUAGAUGUGCCUAUCGUUGGCAAUGAGAAAUGGUAGGACUGCGACUUCUGAGUAGAAAUAUGCGAGCUCAAUCAUAUUAUUUUCUGCACCAGGGCGCUUUGGGUUGAGCACCGAGAAUACUCGUGCCAUAUCUCUAAAGUCGGUAAAUCGAUUCUCAAACUGCCCCAUAAAAACAUGAAGUAUGUAAUGGUAUACAUCAACUUUAAGUGCCUUCUGCUUUCCUGAAUUGGCUCGUCCUCUGCUCCCUCCUCAUGAAACCUUUCCCUCUUGGCGCCCUCUCCUCUGCAAACUCAGUUGUUGCAUUGUUUUGUUGGGCCAUCGAGUUCGCACUGUUCUCCAUCUUGUCAUAGGGCUAAUCUGUGCGCAUCUGUCAGAUCUCAGCCAGAUGUCAAUUAGAUCCACGGCAUCUCUCAAAUUAUUUUCAAGGGCUUCAAGGAUCGCGGGCAGGCUCUGUAUAACCGCUUCUGUGGCCUGUUUCCUGGAGGACCACCUUGUGGCUGAUAGGCUUUUCAGCCUGAGAACGGCUCUCUCCAGCUGCAUGCUUUCCUGUUCCUCCUCAAAUAUUUGAAUUCUUGGGAGGCUAGAAGUCAAAAAGCAGUGUACCCCAAAAAUCUUUUGCGCUAUUCAAGGAACAUGCAGCGUCCAUUAGAACGAAUUUGAUAUUGUGUGCACAGAAAUGCACGUAGAACUCAUCAUCAAGCUUUGAUUAUUUGAAACAGCUGUGUAGUACUAAGGGAAAAAACUAAACGUGCACCACUUGAGUUUCCCAGGACCAAGUCUGGGAAAUGCUGCCAUAACUUAAAUGAAUGAGUGAUUUUUCUUUUUGAAAGUUUUAAAAUAAAGAUCUCCAAUAUUUUACUGUCAAUAAUGCUUGUUUCUAAAUGGGUAUAGUGUGAUGACAGGGAAAAAAUGAAUAAUCUUGUGAUAUCUAGCUAUAUAAUAUAGUAGGCUAAUUAGCGGAGAGGCAGGUAAAACUGCAUACAGGCUGCAUACAAGCUCCUCUAUAAAACAAAGUGGGAUAUCACAAGCCCGGAUUCAACACAAAAGGCGGGGGCAUAGGCAUGGGUGGGCCUGGGUGGACACAGGGCCACCCAAUCAGACUGAUCAAAAAACAACAACAAAAAUACAUAAUUAUUUUUAAAAUACUCCUCAG